AAUGCGUGUUGAAAUUACCAAUCAAGAAGUGGAUCACAAACUUUUACUAUAUCAAAAAGAGAAAAUACACAAACGCUGAACCUUAAAGCUAGAGUUAACCGAUUGAUUUGAUUCCUGAAAAAUAAAAGUUACAAGUAUUUUUGAUGACACUUCCUCGUUGGAUUUAGCCGAGAAACAGCAUCAGUUCACGGAAAUAGAGAGAGAAUCCGGGCUUAAAAUUUCCCACCUGAUUUGCAACGUGUGCGCUAAAAUUCUGCCCACUUCGUAUCACUUACGUAGACACAUGAGGACGCAUACUGGAGAAAAACCAUUCAAAUGUUCGAAAUGUGACUAUAGGGCAACGAGAAAAGAUGCCCUGAAAAGUCAUGAGAGAAGUCGGCAUUCUGACAAGACGCCAUGAUAUAAUUACAUUUUCACAUUACAUUACAUUCUCAAAUUUAGUCGAAUUCUGGUGAGAUAUUUUCACUUGUUACAAAUGGCGUCAAUUAAAAAAGGGACAGAACUCUGAAAAAAUAAUAAUAAAAAAAAGAUGUCACAUGAAGAAAGAAGGUAUUAUUCAUUUAGGACACAGCAUUACAGUUCAUAACAGUUUUUAAUGUUUUAUAAAGUCAUAUUUUAAAACCUUGUUCUAACAAAUGGUGAUAAAUAAAAAAGGGAUGUAACUCUUACCCUAAUGAUACUUUUUAGGUUAUGAAAUGUUUGUAAAAAAAGAAAAUGAGGCAAAGUUAUUAAUAAGAAGACAGUAUUAUAAUAGAUUGCAAAGUUCUAUUAUUAUUUUCAAUUUUUGCUUUGAAUAGUUUGAAAAAUUUAAUCAAAUGUGAUUUGAAAUAUUUUUGAAUUUGAAAGAUAAUUUGAAUGUUUAUAGUGUUUGAGGAAAUGACUGCACAGGACUAAAGAAGAUUUUAAAUUAAUUGUUUUAUUAUCAGUACUUGGAAAUAGCAACAUGUAUUGUUUAUUAUAAUUUGUUUCAUGUUUGUUUUUAUACAUUACUCAGAAUUAUUUUUCUGAAAAUUAAAUUAGAAUAUUUAUUAAAUAGUAU
Ruditapes philippinarum (Manila clam) is the source of this 1039-nucleotide long non-coding RNA. RefSeq lists it as uncharacterized. The record is from RefSeq and is a predicted model, not a curated record. The transcript is spliced from 2 exons. NCBI's taxonomy places the organism in Eukaryota, Metazoa, Mollusca, Bivalvia, Venerida, Veneridae.